Symphalangus syndactylus (siamang) is the source of this 2974-nucleotide long non-coding RNA. RefSeq lists it as uncharacterized. The record is from RefSeq and is a predicted model, not a curated record. NCBI's taxonomy places the organism in Eukaryota, Metazoa, Chordata, Mammalia, Primates, Hylobatidae.
CCAUGGUCCAAAGCACCCCAGUAACCAUGACGUUCCCUCCAGAUUCGUUAAGUUCAAUAAAGGCUGAGACCAGUGUAAACCCCCAACGCCACACACGUCAAAUACAGGAAACAGAAACCCCUCCUCACCAAUCGGCAUCACAGUCCUCCCAAAAUACGCCCCUAAAACCCACUGUCCCGCCCCGUCCCAGUCCCGUAAAGAUCACAAACAUCACAGUCCUUCUCUGAUUUGGGCUCCCCUACGUUCUAAGCAGGGCUCCCCCAACGCCGUGGUGAUAUAACCCAGCCACACUUGGGGAAGCAUCCUCCCCACAAGCCCCCACCCCUGUAAAUACAGCACAGCAACGGCUUCCACAGCGCCAAAAAGCCAGAAUAUAUAUUUGCUCAUGAGGACAAGGACUAUUGGGUACCACUGUAUUCCCAGCCCAUGGAAGAAUGCCUGUGAAAGAGUUCAGGACACACCACCCCAAUAUAUGCCCAUUUGAUAUGCUGAUUACUUCAAAUGGAGGGAAUUCAGGGGAACAGACUGCUUCAGCAGCAGGCUCCUGGCAUGCCUGACCAAACACUGGCCACAGAUAAGAUUUCCUCCCACAUUAGCCCCCCAGAUCCCUGCCUGUAGAGUCCAGCGGAAGCAAGAUAGAAGAGAAUCACAGGGCAAGAACACAGGCCUCAAAGACUGAGGCCUGACCGUGAUGGGAGCCCACCUGCCACACCACCUCCUGGAAUGAGACAGAACUGAUUAAUCGGACUGACCUAGUCCCAGGUCUCAUACUGUUCAAACACUAAUCUGAUUUUUCUGUCAUCCACCACCAAAUCAACUUUUAGCGUGUGGAACUUCUAGAGAAGUUUCAGAUAGGAGAAAUGAAGAAGUUCGAGAAAUGCCAAUCCCAAAAUACGCCCCUCUGAUACACUGAUUACUUCAAAUGGAGGGAACCUGGGGAACAGCAAGGGCAGGGAGGACUUUCUUUGACCUUCCCUUAUCUACCUAAACACAGAUCCUCCAAAGGGAACUCCAGUGUCAUGAAUCCCUUCCCCAGGAAUCUUCUCAAUCAGGGAAGAUGAGCUCAGAUCACAGGAGAUGAGAAUGGAGGUUGGCACCACGCCCAGAUCUAUUCUUCUGGGACAACUUUUCUUAACUAAGAGACUUAUAAUCUGCAUAACAAGACAACUUUUAUUCACCAUACACUUCCUCCCUGCACCCUCCCAUAAUUUAGGUCACCACCACCUCCCAGAAGCUGCAAGCCCCUCUUCUUUUCUGUAGCUCAGGAUGCUAUAUAAGCUUCAAUCAUCUGGCCCUUCUUUGAAUCUCAUAUAUUGUGGGGCUCCUGUGCAUACUUACAUAAUUAAAAUGAGUUUUUUCUCCUGUUAAUCUGCCUUAUGUCAAUUUAAUAUGUAGCCCAGUCAAAGAACCUAGAAGGGUAGAGGGAAGCCAUUUUUUGCUCCCCUACACCAGGCACAUAGUUGGGACUUGGGGAUCAAUAAAUAUUUGUUUACCAAAUGCGGUUUUGAUUAGGAAGGUUAAAGCUCUGUACUAUGCUGAUUUUUAUUCCACGUCUGAACGUGCCUAUUUACCGAGUUGGCCAGGCGCAGUGGCUCAUGCCUGUCAUCCCAGCACUUUGGAAAGCUGAGGUGGGCCGAUCACUUGAAGCCAGGAGUUCGAGACUAGCCUGCUACUAAACAUAUAAAAAAUUAGGUCAGGCGCGGUGGUUCAUGCCUGUAAUCCUAGCACUUUGGGAGGCCGAGGAGAGCAGAUCACCUGAGGUCAGGAGUUCAAGACCAGCCUGGCCAACAUGGCGAAACCCCGUCUCUACUAAAAAUACAAAAAUUAGCUGGGCAUAGUGGUGGGCACCUGUAAUCCCAGCUAAUCAGGAGGCUGAGGGAGGAGAAUCGCUUGAACCUGGGAGGCAGGGGUUCCAGUGAGCCAAGAUCGUGCCACUGUACUCCAGCCUGGGCAACACAGUCAGACUGUCUCAAAAAAAAAAAAGGUAGAUUUGAAAUAGCAAAAUCCUUACAACACAGCCUCCCACAUUAUUAAGAAAAACUGAAAUAAUAUUAACACCACCUGAUCUUUUUUUAGGUCAUCAAGAAAAAAAUUUCACAGCUGCCCAGUGGAUUUAUAAACUCUAUUCACACUUGCCACAAGAUGGCGGCACAUGAGCUGGCCAUCCCUGCAGAAACCCAGCUAUGUCUUGCAGGCAUCAAGUCUUCCUAGAGCAAUUUGGGGGACCAUUCUAUUUGAACAUUCACUGUCUAAAAGGAAGCUCUUACACGACCCCUAAAUGCAACAUGUUAAGUCAAGUCACCAGGGUGUCUCGGAAAAGAUAAAUAAAUAAAUGCAACGUGUGAUCCUGAAUUGGUUCCAAGCCAGGAGAAAAAACAGCAAUAAGGAACGUUAUUGGGACAAUUGAUGAAAUUGGAACAUGAAUUGUGCAUUAGAUAAAAGUAUCAUGUCCAUGUUAAAUUUCUUGAUUUUGAUAGUUGUACUGUGCUUAUGAAAGAGAAUAUUCGGCCGGGCAUGGUGACCCGCGCCUGGAAUCCCAGCACUUUGGGAGGCUGAGGCAGGUGGAUCACCUGAGGUCAGGAGUUCAAAGACCAGCCAGCCCAACAUGGUGAAACCCCAUCUCUACUAAAGAAUACAAAAAUUAGCCAGACGUGGUGGUGGGCGCCUGUAAUCCCAGCUACUGGGGAAGCUGAGGCAGGAGAAUCGCUUGAACCCAGGUGAAGAAGGUUGCAGUGAGCCAAGAUCGCGCCAUUGCACUCCAGCCUGGGCGACAAGAGCAAAACUCUGUCUCAAAAAAAAAAAAAAAAAAAGGAAAGAGAAUGUUCUUGAUCUUAGGAACUACACACAAGUGUCCUGAGGUAAAGAAAGACACAUGAUGUUCUCCAACCUAAUUCUCAAAUGGCUCAUAACAUAAUAGAUAUAGAUGAUGCAUGUAUCCUUAUGGAGGGGAGAAGAGGGAACAGUAAGACAAAUG